Molecule: ribosomal RNA, 240 nt
Filed under: uncultured bacterium
Lineage: Bacteria
Description: partial 16S ribosomal RNA
Rfam family: Bacterial small subunit ribosomal RNA
Source: RNAcentral
UAACCUGCCCAAGAGACUGGGAUAACACCUGGAAACAGAUGCUAAUACCGGAUAACAACACUAGACGCAUGUCUAGAGUUUAAAAGAUGGUUCUGCUAUCACUCUUGGAUGGACCUGCGGUGCAUUAGCUAGUUGGUAAGGCAACGGCUUACCAAGGCAAUGAUGCAUAGCCGAGUUGAGAGACUGAUCGGCCACAUUGGGACUGAGACACGGCCCAAACUCCUACGGGAGGCAGCAGCC